This 497-nucleotide ribosomal RNA is filed under the name uncultured bacterium. RNAcentral's name for it is "partial 16S ribosomal RNA". It matches the Rfam family "Bacterial small subunit ribosomal RNA", at positions 28 to 507 of the family's 1533-position model. The record is from RNAcentral.
GAUGAACGCUGGCGGCGUGCCUAAUACAUGCAAGUCGAGCGAACAGACGAGGAGCUUGCUCCUCUGACGUUAGCGGCGGACGGGUGAGUAACACGUGGAUAACCUACCUAUAAGACUGGGAUAACUUCGGGAAACCGGAGCUAAUACCGGAUAAUAUAUUGAACCGCAUGGUUCAAUAGUGAAAGACGGUUUUGCUGUCACUUAUAGAUGGAUCCGCGCCGCAUUAGCUAGUUGGUAAGGUAACGGCUUACCAAGGCAACGAUGCGUAGCCGACCUGAGGGGGUGAUCGGCAACACUGGAACUGAGACACGGUCCAGACUCCUACGGGAGGCAGCAGUAGGGAAUCUUCCGCAAUGGGCGAAAGCCUGACGGAGCAACGCCGCGUGAGUGAUGAAGGUCUUCGGAUCGUAAAACUCUGUUAUUAGGGAAGAACAAAUGUGUAAGUAACUAUGCACGUCUUGACGGUACCUAAUCAGAAAGCCACGGCUAACUACGUG